UACGUAGGGGGCAAGCGUUGUCCGGAUUUAUUGGGCGUAAAGAGCGUGUAGGCGGCUUUGCAAGUCCGUUGUGAAAACUCGAGGCUCAACCUCGAGACGCCGGUGGAAACUGCAAAGCUAGAGUCCGGAAGAGGAGAGUGGAAUUCCUGGUGUAGCGGUGAAAUGCGCAGAUAUCAGGAAGAACACCAGUGGCGAAGGCGGCUCACUGGCCCGGUACUGACGCUGAGGUGCGAAAGCGUGGGGAGCAAACAGG
RNAcentral lists this ribosomal RNA (253 nucleotides) under uncultured bacterium. RNAcentral describes it as "partial 16S ribosomal RNA". It matches the Rfam family "Bacterial small subunit ribosomal RNA", at positions 524 to 776 of the family's 1533-position model. The record is from RNAcentral.